UGAAUACGAGACGCUAAGGCGUCGAAGUAGUGUAUGUCAUACUUCCAAGAAAAGCUUGCACUGUCAUAGAUAAAAAACGCCUGUACCAUAACCGACACAGGUAGGUAGGUAGAGUAUACUAAGGGGCGCGAGAUAACUCUCUCUAAGGAACUCGGCAAAAUAACUCCGUAACUUCGGGAGAAGGAGUGCCUUAUUAUUAAGGCUGCAAUAACAAGAUCCAAGCAACUGUUUAUCAAAAACACAGGUCUCCGCUAAGUCGUAAGACGAUGUAUGGGGGCUGACGCCUGCCCAGUGCCAGAAGGUUAAAGAAGUUGGUUAGCAUUUGCGAAGCUGAUAACUGAAGCCCUGGUGAACGGCGGCCGUAACGAUAACGGUCCUAAGGUAGCGAAAUUCCUUGUCGGGUAAGUUCCGACCCGCACGAAAGGCGUAAUGAUUUGGAUACUGUCUCGGAGAGGGGCUCGGUGAAAUAGACUUGUCUGGAAGAUGCGGACUACCUGCACCAGGACAGAAAGACCCUAUGAAGCUUUACUGUAACUUGAAAUUGAAAUUGGACUUUAUUCGCGCAGCAUAGGUGGGAGGCGUUGAUUAUGAUCUUGUGGGAUUAUUGGAGCCAUCAGUGAGAUACCACUCUUGUAAUGUUAGAUUUCUAACUUUGAAUCAUUAUCUGGUCAAAGAACAGUUUCAGGCGGGCAGUUUGACUGGGGCGGUCGCCUCCUAAACGGUAACGGAGGCGUACAAAGGUUUCCUCUGAACGGUUAGAAAUCGUAUCUAGAGUGUAAAGGCAUAAGGAAGCUUGACUGUGAGACCUACAAGUCGAGCAGGGACGAAAGUCGGUCUUAGUGAUCUGACGGUACUGAGUGGAAAGGCCGUCACUCAACGGAUAAAAGUUACUCUAGGAUAACAGGCUGAUCUCCCCCAAGAGUUCACAUCGACGGGGAGGUUUGGCACCUCGAUGUCGGCUCAUCGCAUCCUGGGGCGGUAGUACGUCCCAAGGGUUGGGCUGUUCGCCCAUGAAAGCGGUACGCGAGCUGGGUUCAGAACGUCGUGAGACAGUUCGGUCCAUAUCCGGUGUAGGCGUUAGAAUAUUGAGAGGAGCCUUCUUUAGUACGAGAGGACCGAGAAGGACAUACCUCUGGUGUACCAGUUAUCGUGCCAACGGUAAACGCUGGGUAGCUAUGCAUGGAGUGGAUAACCGCUGAAAGCAUCUAAGUGGGAAGCCCACCUCAAGAUAAG
RNAcentral lists this ribosomal RNA (1233 nucleotides) under metagenome. RNAcentral's name for it is "bacterial LSU rRNA". It matches the Rfam family "Bacterial large subunit ribosomal RNA", at positions 1564 to 2808 of the family's 2925-position model. The record is from RNAcentral.